AUUGAACGCUGGCGGCAGGCCUAACACAUGCAAGUCGAGUGAGCGGCGGACGGGUGAGUAAUGUAUGGGGACUGCCCGAUAGAGGGGGAUAACUACUGGAAACGGUGGCUAAUACCGCAUACUAUCGGAUAACCCAUAUUGGAUUAGCUAGUAGGUGGGGUAAAGGCGCACCUAGGCGACGAUCUCUAGCUGGUCUGAGAGGAGGAUCAGCCACACUGGGACUGAGAAACGGCCCAGACUCCUACGGAGGGAGCAGGGGGGAAUAUUGCACAAUGGGAGCAAGCCUGAUGCAGCCAUGCCGCGUGGAUGACGAAGGCCGUAGGGUUGUAAAGUACUUUCGGCAGGGACGCGGUACCCGCAGAAUAAGCACCGGCUAACUCCGUGCCAGCCGCCGCGGUAAUUC
This 403-nucleotide ribosomal RNA is filed under the name uncultured bacterium. RNAcentral's name for it is "partial 16S ribosomal RNA". It matches the Rfam family "Bacterial small subunit ribosomal RNA", at positions 30 to 526 of the family's 1533-position model. The record is from RNAcentral.